Molecule: transfer RNA, 73 nt
Filed under: Bos taurus (domestic cattle)
Lineage: Eukaryota; Metazoa; Chordata; Mammalia; Artiodactyla; Bovidae
Rfam family: tRNA
About the family: Transfer RNA (tRNA) molecules are approximately 80 nucleotides in length.
Source: Rfam by way of RNAcentral
UCCCUGGUGGUCCAGUGAUGAGGACUCCGUGCUUUCACUGCCGAGGGCCUGGGUUCAAUCCCUGGUCAGGGAA